GAUGAACGCUGGCGGCGUGCCUAAUACAUGCAAGUCGAGCGAACGGACGAGAAGCUUGCUUCUCUGAUGUUAGCGGCGGACGGGUGAGUAACACGUGGAUAACCUACCUAUAAGACUGGGAUAACUUCGGGAAACCGUAGCUAAUACCGGAUAAUAUUUUGAACCGCAUGGUUCAAAAGUGAAAGACGGUCUUGCUGUCACUUGUAGAUGGAUCCGCGCUGCAUUAGCUAGUUGGUAAGGUAACGGCUUACCAAGGCAACGAUGCAUAGCCGACCUGAGAGGGUGAUCGGCCACACUGGAACUGAGACACGGUCCAGACUCCUACGGGAGGCAGCAGUAGGGAAUCUUCCGCAAUGGGCGAAAGCCUGACGGAGCAACGCCGCGUGAGUGAUGAAGGUCUUCGGAUCGUAAAACUCUGUUAUUAGGGAAGAACAUAUGUGUAAGUAACUGUGCACAUCUUGCCGGUACCUAAUCAGAAAGCCACGGCUAACUACGUG
Molecule: ribosomal RNA, 497 nt
Filed under: uncultured bacterium
Lineage: Bacteria
Description: partial 16S ribosomal RNA
Rfam family: Bacterial small subunit ribosomal RNA
Source: RNAcentral